GCUGUUUAAAAGACAAUAAAAAAAUUCUCGAUCUCUUUUUGUGUUACUGUUUCUCUCUAUUUCAUUCUGAGACAGAGACUACCUUUUUCUUUCUUCUACUUUUUUUCUGGAUAUCUGAAGGAUAUCUCCUGGAUCAGUCUCUCCAAUGAUCGUACUCGUGAGAGGAGGAUUGAACUGAAUCGGAUCAUUGUAGUUUAGGAACGAGAUC
Molecule: long non-coding RNA, 208 nt
Filed under: Elaeis guineensis (African oil palm)
Lineage: Eukaryota; Viridiplantae; Streptophyta; Magnoliopsida; Arecales; Arecaceae
Description: long non-coding RNA (EGUI_LNC020663)
Source: RNAcentral